This 776-nucleotide long non-coding RNA is filed under the name Phasianus colchicus (ring-necked pheasant). Its description in RNAcentral is "lncRNA (ENSPCLG00000016066.1)". The record is from RNAcentral. Lineage: Eukaryota; Metazoa; Chordata; Aves; Galliformes; Phasianidae.
GGAACGAGAUGUACAGUGAAAGUGUGCUGACAUCACAGCCAUUAUUGAAUGAUAAAGUAAAUAGCUGGUUGUACUAAUGUGCAGACUUGACAGCACUGAGAAACAUGAACUUCCAUAUGGAAAAUAUGGAAACGGAAGUCGACAGAUUCACAUAACGAUCUGAGUCAGUGUUGUUUCUGCUUGAGCAAACAAUUUUGAUUUAAAGGGAGAAGAUGACUGAGCAAAUCAUGAAGAGGUCUGGUGCCUCAGGUCUCUGUGGCUGCAAUUGUGGCCAUCUUGUGUAACCUGUAACUGCUUCCUCUGAGCCCUGUCUGUGAGAAGAAUCCAAAAUGAGUAACUUCAGUUUAAAAAUCUGUGGAUGUCUUUGGUGCUGGUGAAUAGACAGCAGCCUACACUGUCAGCUCUAAAGAAACAAGCCCAUUUCUCUGGAAGGCGCUCUGUUCUGCUUUGGCUGCUUUCAGCACUGGUUUUAUGGGGCAUCAGCACUGAAGUAUUCCCACUGCUGCCUGAGAGAAACUUGUGUCCCAGUUUGAGUGUCUUGAGUGAUUGGAGAUUUAGCUCUGAGCUAGAGAUACUCUCUGCCAUUGAAAAGUAGGGCUGUAAUUCAUGACAUGACUGUUAAUUUACCUAUUCCCAGAGGAACAGUGAACAUUCCAACUGUCACUGCAAACUGACCUUUGAGGCAUGAACAAAUAAGGAUUUAGAAAGUAAUUGGUGACAAAAUACUGGCAAUUUGUUAAUCUCUGUAGAAAAUAAAGAGGAUAGCAGUUAGGGCA